RNAcentral lists this ribosomal RNA (466 nucleotides) under uncultured bacterium. RNAcentral's name for it is "partial 16S ribosomal RNA". It matches the Rfam family "Bacterial small subunit ribosomal RNA", at positions 28 to 505 of the family's 1533-position model. The record is from RNAcentral.
GACGAACGCUGGCGGCGUGCUUAACACAUGCCAGUCGAACGGAAAGGCCCUGCUUUUGUGGGGUGCUCGAGUGGCGAACGGGUGAGUAACACGUGAGUAACCUGCCCUUGACUUUGGGAUAACUUCAGGAAACUGGGGCUAAUACCGGAUAGGAGCUCCUGCUGCAUGGUGGGGGUUGGAAAGUUUCGGCGGUUGGGGAUGGACUCGCGGCUUAUCAGCUUGUUGGUGGGGUAGUGGCUUACCAAGGCUUUGACGGGUAGCCGGCCUGAGAGGGUGACCGGCCACAUUGGGACUGAGAUACGGCCCAGACUCCUACGGGAGGCAGCAGUGGGGAAUAUUGCACAAUGGGCGGAAGCCUGAUGCAGCAACGCCGCGUGCGGGAUGACGGCCUUCGGGGUGUAAACCGCUUUCGCCUGUGACGAAGCGUGAGUGACGGUAAUGGGUAAAGAAGCACCGGCUAACUACG